AGAGUUUGAUCAUGGCUCAGAGCGAACGCUGGCGGCAGGCUUAACACAUGCAAGUCGAGCGGACGUAGCAAUACGUCAGCGGCAGACGGGUGAGUAACACGUGGGAACGUACCUUUUGGUUCGGAACAACACAGGGAAACUUGUGCUAAUACCGGAUAAGCCCUUACGGGGAAAGAUUUAUCGCCGAAAGAUCGGCCCGCGUCUGAUUAGCUAGUUGGUGAGGUAAUGGCUCACCAAGGCGACGAUCAGUAGCUGGUCUGAGAGGAUGAUCAGCCACAUUGGGACUGAGACACGGCCCAAACUCCUACGGGAGGCAGCAGUGGGGAAUAUUGGACAAUGGGGGCAACCCUGAUCCAGCCAUGCCGCGUGAGUGAUGAAGGCCCUAGGGUUGUAAAGCUCUUUUGUGCGGGAAGAUAAUGACGGUACCGCAAGAAUAAGCCCCGGCUAACUUCGUGCCAGCAGCCGCGGUAAUACGAAGGGGGCUAGCGUUGCUCGGAAUCACUGGGCGUAAAGGGUGCGUAGGCGGGUCUUUAAGUCAGGGGUGAAAUCCUGGAGCUCAACUCCAGAACUGCCUUUGAUACUGAAGGUCUUGAGUCCGGGAGAGGUGAGUGGAACUGCGAGUGUAGAGGUGAAAUUCGUAGAUAUUCGCAAGAACACCAGUGGCGAAGGCGGCUCACUGGCCCGGUACUGACGCUGAGGCACGAAAGCGUGGGGAGCAAACAGGAUUAGAUACCCCAGUAGUCC
This 744-nucleotide ribosomal RNA is filed under the name uncultured bacterium. RNAcentral describes it as "bacterial SSU rRNA". It matches the Rfam family "Bacterial small subunit ribosomal RNA", at positions 8 to 796 of the family's 1533-position model. The record is from RNAcentral.